CCGCAGAGCCCCGCGGAGGCGGCCCCGCCCAUGGCGCAGCGCGCGGUGCCCCCUGGCGCCACUCGGGUGCGGUGUGGGAUAGCUGGGGAGGCAGCGGGCGGUUGGGCAAGAGGAGAAGCCACUCCACGUGCAGCUGCUCUUUGCAGUUUGGCAGAACCAGGGAAAGAAGCUUGUCAAACAAAAACCACAAUGCUUUCGCUCAAUUAGCAAAUUGUAUCAAGGUGCUCAGGAUAAUGGUGAGCACCAAGGUUAUAGACAUCCUGAAUCUUUUUAAAACAUGUUGUUAAAUUGAGAUAAAAGCAAAAGAGCAGUCCUAGGUACUGGUAGAUAAUGCUACUUAUUUCCCCAAUGAGUGGGACAGGUUGGGGUUGGGAGUGGGGGAACCUUAGAUUUGCUCUUGGCGAAAGGACACAGUACUGUUGGAAUGAAG
This 430-nucleotide long non-coding RNA is filed under the name Ictidomys tridecemlineatus (thirteen-lined ground squirrel). RNAcentral's name for it is "lncRNA (ENSSTOG00000029765.1)". Lineage: Eukaryota; Metazoa; Chordata; Mammalia; Rodentia; Sciuridae. The record is from RNAcentral.